This 125-nucleotide non-coding RNA is filed under the name Erinaceus europaeus (western European hedgehog). Lineage: Eukaryota; Metazoa; Chordata; Mammalia; Eulipotyphla; Erinaceidae. The record is from RNAcentral.
CUAACAACUGAAAAGAGAUAAGGAUAGCACUCACCAUGACUCCGAUGGAACACGACCUCAGCCUGCUCCUCGCUUACGGUUAAGGGAUUAACACCAACUCGUGGGUAUUCUAACUGUCGUUUUGA